RNAcentral lists this ribosomal RNA (212 nucleotides) under uncultured bacterium. RNAcentral's name for it is "partial 16S ribosomal RNA". It matches the Rfam family "Bacterial small subunit ribosomal RNA", at positions 119 to 334 of the family's 1533-position model. The record is from RNAcentral.
AGUUAAUCUGCCCUUUAGAGGGGAUAACAGUUGGAAACGACUGCUAAUACCCCAUACUCCUUUUAUCUUAAUGAUAAUUGGGAAACGUUUUUUCGCUAAAGGAUGAGACUAUAUGGUAUCAGGUAGUUGGUAGGGUAAGAGCCUACCAAGCCAAUGACGCCUAGCUGGUCUGAGAGGAUGAUCAGCCACACUGGAACUGAGACACGGUCCAG